Molecule: ribosomal RNA, 1266 nt
Filed under: uncultured prokaryote
Description: partial 16S ribosomal RNA
Rfam family: Bacterial small subunit ribosomal RNA
Source: RNAcentral
CGCUAGGAUCCCUUCGGGGUGACUUUGAUGCUGACGAGCGGCGGACGGGUGAGUAACGCGUAGGAAUCUACCCAGUAGCGGGGGAUAGCCCGGGGAAACUCGGAUUAAUACCGCAUACGCCCUAAGGGGGAAAGGGGGGGAACUCUUCGGAGACCUCUCACUAUUGGAGGAGCCUGCGUUGGAUUAGCUAGUUGGUGAGGUAAAGGCUCACCAAGGCCACGAUCCAUAGCUGGUCUGAGAGGACGAUCAGCCACACUGGAACUGAGACACGGUCCAGACUCCUACGGGAGGCAGCAGUAGGGAAUAUUGUGCAAUGGGCGAAAGCCUGACACAGCCAUGCCGCGUGUGUGAAGAAGGCCUUAGGGUUGUAAAGCACUUUCAGUAAGGAAGAAAAAGCCGAAUUAAUACUUCGGUAAUAUGACAUUACUUACAGAAGAAGCACCGGCUAACUCCGUGCCAGCAGCCGCGGUAAUACGGAGGGUGCAAACGUUAAUCGGAAUUACUGGGCGUAAAGCGCGCGUAGGUGGUUUGUUAAGUGGGAUGUGAAAGCCCUAGGCUCAACCUAGGAAUUGCAUUCCAAACUGACGAACUAGAGUACGAUAGAGGGAGGUAGAAUUCAGAGUGUAGCGGUGAAAUGCGUAGAUAUUCUGAGGAAUACCGGUGGCGAAGGCGGCCUCCUGGAUUGAUACUGACACUGAUGUGCGAAAGCUAGGGGAGCAAACGGGAUUAGAUACCCCGGUAGUCCUAGCCGUAAACGAUGGGCACUAAGUAGAGGGAAUUACCGAUGUUCUCUCUGCCGUAGCUAACGCAUUAAGUGCCCCGCCUGGGGAGUACGGCCGCAAGGCUAAAACUCAAAAGAAUUGACGGGGGCUCGCACAAGCGGUGGAGCAUGUGGCUUAAUUCGAUGCAACGCGAAAAACCUUACCGGGGCUUGACAUGGUAGAAGUAGGAACCUGAAAGGGUAACGAACGGUAUCCAGUCCGUAGCUAUCACAGGUGUUGCAUGGCUGUCGUCAGCUCGUGUCGUGAGACGUUGGGUUAAGUCCCCUAACGAGCGAAACCCUUAUUUUUAGUUACCAGCGGGUUGUGCCGGGUACUCUAGAAAGACUGCCGUCGUCAAGACGGAGGAAGGUGGGGAUGACGUCAAGUCAUCAUGGCCCUUAUGCCCCGGGCUGCACACGUGCUACAAUGGUCGGUACAGACGGAAGCGAAGCCGAGAGGUGAAGCGAAUCCUAAAAAGCCGAUCUCAGUUCGGAUUGGAGGCUGA